RNAcentral lists this ribosomal RNA (497 nucleotides) under uncultured bacterium. Its description in RNAcentral is "partial 16S ribosomal RNA". It matches the Rfam family "Bacterial small subunit ribosomal RNA", at positions 28 to 507 of the family's 1533-position model. The record is from RNAcentral.
GAUGAACGCUGGCGGCGUGCCUAAUACAUGCAAGUCGAGCGAACAGACGAGGAGCUUGCUCCUCUGACGUUAGCGGCGGACGGGUGAGUAACACGUGGAUAACCUACCUAUAAGACUGGGAUAACUUCGGGAAACCGGAGCUAAUACCGGAUAAUAUAUUGAACCGCAUGGUUCAAUAGUGAAAGACGGUUUUGCUGUCACUUAUAGAUGGAUCCGCGCCGCAUUAGCUAGUUGGUAAGGUAACGGCUUACCAAGGCAACGAUGCGUAGCCGACCUGAGAGGGUGAUCGGCCACACUGGAACUGAGACACGGUCCAGACUCCUACGGGAGGCAGCAGAAGGGAAUCUUCCGCAAUGGGCGAAAGCCUGACGGAGCAACGCCGCGUGAGUGAUGAAGGUCUUCGGAUCGUAAAACUCUGUUAUUAGGGAAGAACAAAUGUGUAAGUAACUAUGCACGUCUUGACGGUACCUACUCAGAAAGCCACGGCUAACUACGUG